Molecule: ribosomal RNA, 455 nt
Filed under: uncultured Mycobacterium sp.
Lineage: Bacteria; Bacillati; Actinomycetota; Actinomycetes; Mycobacteriales; Mycobacteriaceae
Description: bacterial SSU rRNA
Rfam family: Bacterial small subunit ribosomal RNA
Source: RNAcentral
UAGGGCGAACGGGUGAGUAACACGUGGGUAAUCUGCCCUGCACUUCGGGAUAAGCCUGGGAAACUGGGUCUAAUACCGGAUAUGACCACGAAGCGCAUGCUUUGUGGUGGAAAGCUUUUGCGGUGUGGGAUGGGCCCGCGGCCUAUCAGCUUGUUGGUGGGGUGAUGGCCUACCAAGGCGACGACGGGUAGCCGGCCUGAGAGGGUGUCCGGCCACACUGGGACUGAGAUACGGCCCAGACUCCUACGGGAGGCAGCAGUGGGGAAUAUUGCACAAUGGGCGCAAGCCUGAUGCAGCGACGCCGCGUGGGGGAUGACGGCCUUCGGGUUGUAAACCUCUUUCAGCAGGGACGAAGCGCAAGUGACGGUACCUGCAGAAGAAGCACCGGCCAACUACGUGCCAGCAGCCGCGGUAAUACGUAGGGUGCGAGCGUUGUCCGGAAUUACUGGGNCGAA